RNAcentral lists this small nuclear RNA (100 nucleotides) under Chinchilla lanigera (long-tailed chinchilla). The record is from RNAcentral. Lineage: Eukaryota; Metazoa; Chordata; Mammalia; Rodentia; Chinchillidae.
GUGCUCACUUCAGCACUAAAAUUGGGACGAUACAGUGAAGAUUAGCAUGGCCCCUGCACAAGGAUGACAUGCAAAAUAAAAAGAAGAAAGCAAAGAAAUU